RNAcentral lists this ribosomal RNA (403 nucleotides) under uncultured Strombidiidae. RNAcentral describes it as "partial small subunit ribosomal RNA". It matches the Rfam family "Eukaryotic small subunit ribosomal RNA", at positions 30 to 432 of the family's 1831-position model. The record is from RNAcentral. Lineage: Eukaryota; Ciliophora; Spirotrichea; Strombidiidae.
GCUUGUCUCAAAGAUUAAGCCAUGCAUGUCUAAGUAUAAACAAAUCUAUACUGUGAAACUGCGAAUGGCUCAUUAUAUCAGUUAUAGUUUAUUUGAUGGUUCUUACUACUUGGAUAACCGUGGUAAUUCUAGAGCUAAUACAUGCUGGCGUGCCCGACUUUUGCGGAAGGGCGGUAUUUAUUAGAUAACAAGCCAAUAUUCCUCCGGGUCUAUUGUGGUGAUUCAUAAUAACUGAUCGAAUCGCAAGGCCUUUGGCCGCGAUAAGUCAUUCAAGUUUCUGCCCCAUCAGCUUUCGAUGGUAGUGUAUUGGACUACCAUGGCGUUCACGGGUAACGGAGAAUUAGGGUUCGAUUCCGGAGAGGGAGCCUGAGAAACGGCUACCACAUCUAAGGAAGGCAGCAGG